CUGCUGCAGAACUUGCAAUGGAUUGAAUAGGUUGGUCCUCUCUUUCCUCAAGCAUGGAUAUAAAAAAGUUUUUUAGAGAAUAUGCUAAAAUUGGUACAAAGAUCUAACAGGAUAUAACAAAACAAUUGAUCACCAAUGAGCAAUACCCAGGUGACGUCUAGUUUCUUCUUGCUUAUACCAUAUAACCUGAAAAAUUUUAAUAUAAUAAACAAGAUAGUGAAAAAAUCCCAAGCAAAACUUGCAACAGAUUUUCUCAAAACAAGUUUAGCUGCUAUUAUGGAAAUUAUAGGUCAGUUUAUAGAAAAUGAUCCAAAUUUUGAUAAAAAUUCAAAGGCAAGAUGAAAUAUCAUGGAUGCAAUGUUUUGCUAU
RNAcentral lists this long non-coding RNA (369 nucleotides) under Androctonus crassicauda. Lineage: Eukaryota; Metazoa; Arthropoda; Arachnida; Scorpiones; Buthidae. The record is from RNAcentral.